Molecule: long non-coding RNA, 2145 nt
Organism: Podarcis raffonei (Aeolian wall lizard)
Lineage: Eukaryota; Metazoa; Chordata; Lepidosauria; Squamata; Lacertidae
Exons: 3
Source: RefSeq, a predicted model, not a curated record
UGCAGGGAAGAGUUUUAUUUAGCAGCUUCGCUUCGCUUUAAUCGGCCAAGGCUGCGUGCGAAGGCGUAUUCCCCUUCUACGUCUGUCCUCACAACUGCCCUGCGAGGACUGGCCCAAGAGAUUUUGUCACCUGAGGGAAACCACAAAAUGGCGUCUUCCUGCUGCCAGCCAAGAAGGGUGAAGCCCAUUGCAAUUUGAUGUUCCCCACUGUUGGCUUCAAUACUUCAUGGAAUCAUAGAACUGUAGAGCUGGAAGUGACCAUGAGAGUCAUCUAGUCCAACACCCCUGCAAUGCAGGAAUCUUUUCUCCAGUGUGAGGCUUGAACCCACUAUCCUGAGAUUAAGAGUCUCAUGCUAUCCCUCAGUGUCUUGAAUCAACAUAUUCUGAUUCAGACUCCAGAAUUUGUAGUUGAUGAAGAGAGAACGUUUCAUUUCUAACUGGAAACUAGCUGCACAAAGGCAAUGGAUAAUUAGGGAGGAUAACAGUCCAGAGAUAGCCAGAGAUUAAUGCUACAAAUUUCACCUCAGUGCAUGCUGAAAAAACUACAGUCAGUUCAUGUUGGCUUCUGAAUACACUGAAUACUUGCAGGUCUGUUUUCCUAGUUGUUAGGACUAAACCUGCCUAUUCAUUGCCCUACAGUCCUCUGUGGAAAGUCAGGAAGUCCUUAAAGAAUAUUCUAGAGUCCAUAAUCCAAGAACAUGAGCUUUGGAAUUUGGAUAGCUUUGAGGUUUUUUAAUCUGUUUCAUUCUGGUGUAAGGGAGAUUUGUCUGGCAUCUUCAUUAUAUAUCUUGAGGUGCCUCUUCAACCUGGCGUUGGCUGAUUAACAUUCUACAGCCUUUUAAAUGUUUUUGCGGUGCGUGUGUAUUAUUGUGUUGUUUUGUUUUAACUAUUUAUUUAUGCUUUUACUUUAUAUUUUUAUCUUGUGAAGUGCCUUGAGAUCUUGUGAUGAAGGGUAGUACUGUAUUUUUUGCUCUAUAGGACACACUUUUUCCCCUCUAAAAAUUAAGGGGAAAUGUGUGUGCGUCCUAUGGAGCGAAUACAGGCUCCUUGGCUUCAGCGAUAGCAACGCGAAGCCUCCGAAGUGCAGAGGGAGCGCUCCCAGUCCAACCAGGAGAUGCUGGGGACUGAACUGAUGCCUUCUGCAUGCUAAGCACUUGUUCUACCACUGAGCUAUGGCCCUAGCUCACAAUAUUGCUGUCAGGAUAAAAUGGAGAAGGUGGAGGCUGAAGUGUGUAUGCUCUGUGGAGGAAAGGUGGGAUAGAAGCAUAAGAAGGAAUAAAGUGUGUAAACUAGCCUAUAAGUGAAUAAACUACAGUAUAUUUUUAACUUACUCUCCUAAUAAUUUGUAUAUAAAUUAUAAAAGUGGUAUAUAAAUUUUGUUAAAUAAAAAAAGAGGAAAUGUUCAGACUUUCAAACAGUAUGUUAUGCCUGAGCCUUCAUUGCUGAAACUCCCAACAGCAUUUUCAUGCUCACAAACACCUGAUGAAGGAACCAUUGUGACAUCACCCAUUCAAGCAGAGUGAAGGGGCAACAGGCUGUCAACAGUGGCAGUAGUUGGGGGCUCCCAUCUACUCAAAAGCCACAGAAAGUCUUUUCAUACUGCCUGAGGAAUUAAUCCCUUAUUUAACAUUCAUAAUUGCUGGAUCGAUUUAACAGGACUGGAGCUAACAUUUGCUUGGAUUUAGCACCAUUGAUAGGGAACUGCCUGCUGCAUCCUCUGCUUUGAAGUCACCCUGGUCUUUGGGCCUCCAGCACGUUCUUCAGCAUGUCCAACCCAUCUAAGAGGCGUAUGAUACUGGUGUUCCACUGGGUUAGGAAGAAGCCCCUGACAGAGAAGCCGUGCUCUACCAUCUCGGCCAGACCUUCUGCCUCUACACCGGCUUGCAACACUCCUCACAUUUCACCCUACUUCACGAGGAGCAAGACACAACCCGCUCCGUUCAGGAGGUCCAGCAGGCACAAGGUGCUGCGAUUGCCGAAUCUCACCGACCCCAAGUUUUUAAGAUCUGUCAUUGACAGCGUUGGCCGGAAGAGAGCCCGCAGGCGUGGCAAGCAAAAGAAGACUCCAGCGGGAACAGGAAAAGGGGUGAGGGCUAGGCUAGAGGCAAGAAGGCUCCAAAGCUAUUUGCGGGGUGGGAUUGCUUU